Long non-coding RNA from Callithrix jacchus (white-tufted-ear marmoset), 4910 nucleotides. RefSeq lists it as uncharacterized. NCBI's taxonomy places the organism in Eukaryota, Metazoa, Chordata, Mammalia, Primates, Cebidae. The record is from RefSeq and is a predicted model, not a curated record.
UGGGAUGAGGGAUACGGAAUGGCUGCAAAUAGAAUGCCAAGCCAGCCAGAGGCCAGAGCUGCCCUCCUGCCUCCAGACGCAAUCACAGACCUUCAGGAAAGAAUGUAGCCCCUUGUUGAAUGUGGACAGGGGGAGGGAAAGGGCUCGUUAUGUCCUUAUAGCCACUCUAACUUAGAAGGUGCUGUUAUUAUCCAUUUUGCAGAAAAGGAAGCUUGGGUCAAUGGUUCUUAGCUGGCACGUGGGCCCAUGCUUAACUCAUCUCCUGUACCACCUCCCUCAGCCCUUAUCAAGUUAUGACAAGGAGCCUGAGCGUGGGUAGAAGAGGAAGGGGACCUAAAAUCCAGGGCUUAGAGAGGAGAGAGGCAGUCUCAGCUGUGGGAACAGCACUUGCGAACAGGAAGUCUCCCCACUCCAUCCGCAGGUAAACAGUGUAAUCACCACUCAUUGGUCCACUCCAUUUGAGCAUCUGCCCCACGCAGAUCUUAUGUAUCAAGACUCAGAGAUAAUACAGUUUCUAUCCUUAGGCAGCUGCAGUGAUGAGAGAGGACAGACACUUUGCAAAGCAAGUACUCUGGAGGCAGCAUAAUGCUCACCAGAUACAGGAGCACUAGGGAACUUGGAGAGGGCAUCAGAGGGGCAGCCAACCCAGCUUGAGUUGAGGAGGGGUCAGCAAAGCUCCCUGGAGGAGUCUGAAAGACAGAAUAGAAAUAAGUGAGGCAAGAGGGAUGACAGGUGUAGGGGAGGGUUUUCAGGUGGAGGGGACAAAUGAACAAGGCCAUGGGAAGCCUAUGGGUGUGAGGGCUGCUGAGAAAGGUGGGCAUGGUAGGCAGAGGAAAGAGGGGAGUCAUGUGGGUGGGCAGGCCAGAAAUCACAAGCCUUCAAGGCAGGAGGAACCUGGGACAGCCAGACCCUCGGACAGUCUCCCUAGGCCAGCAUGGCCACAUCACCAUGAACUGGACUGGGUACAUUCCAGCCUAAUCGCAGCUCAGAUCAGCCAGCUCCGGAGGCAGCUGUGUGGACAUUGGGGCCGACCUCCACCCAGGGUGCCUGCCACGGCCUGGGUGGAGGUCGCCCCAAAGUGUGGUGGGGCAGCAGUCAGGGCAUCCAGGUCCUCAAGGAUUUUCCAGACCUUUGUCUGGAGACCCAGAGUUUUUUCCUCUCCAGCUUCUGAGCAACUGGGUGGGGCAGAGGUGUGGCUCCACCUGUGGGAGGAGCUGAAAAGAUCCUGCCUCAGGACCAGGACUUUGGUGAUCCUAGUUCUCAAGGGCCCCCUGCUCAGGCUGCUAUUAUCCAAAAGGGCCAAGGGUCAGGAUUGACCCACAGCUGGGGCCCAAGUCUACACCAUGGCCUCUACCAGGUCCAGCCACAGCCUGCGUCCCACAGAGCAGGAGGACACAGGCCAGGAUAUGGGAGCAACAGCCCCCAGUGCAGAAAUGAGUGGUCAGGUGGCCAGUGGGACCGCCGACUCUGUUGUCAUGUAAUAGUUUUUAUUUAUUAAACUUCUUUUCUUAUUUAUUUAAUAAAACUUUUAUUUUUUUAAUUAAAGCUUCCAUUCUUCUAUUAUGCAGAGAGCAGCUUUUUUCCUAAGGCAGUGGCAGAGCAUGGGGACAGAUGUCUUAAAUACACAACCCAAUGUCACCAAUUUCAACUUUACAUUAAAAAGACAGCAGAAGCCCCUUCCUCAUUAUACACUGGAGCGCAUCCUCCAUCUCCUCACCCCUCCCCCAACCCCCUCCCUCCUCCCCUUUCUUUCCUUGGCAUAAGAAAGCAGGUCUCUGGCAUUGGCAAAGAGAAAAGUUAAAGGCAGAGAAGCAGUGAAAGGAAAGGAGGAGGAAUCAGGCAGCCUCUAGCUAAAGGGUCCCCAUCCCACCUCACAGGCUAGCCAGGACACCUUGCAUUCCGGUAAGAUGGGGGUGGGGUGCUGGGAAUGAGGUAGGUGAUGGUGACUCCGCCUUGCAAGACGUCUGCUCUUCUUGUAUCAGGCCCAAGGACCUGGUGUCUUUAUCAGCAGGACCAGGCAGGGAGGAAGGCUCCCCAGCAGACCUGGCUGAUCGUCCCCUGGAGGCCAGCCAAAGUGUGCGUGGCCAUGGCUCAGAGCCCUCAUCAGUAACAGCACCAGCGGCCCCUGUGGCGGUGAGGGAGAUCAUUUAUCUAGUGUUUGCUAUGUGUCUGACCCUAGGCUUAAGUGUUUUUCAUUCAUUAUCUUUUUUAAUCCAAACAAAGUUCAGGAGAGUUUAUUAAUUCCAUUUAACAAAUGAGGCAACUGAGGCUCAGAAAAUUUAAGUGACCUCCCAAGUUUACACAGUUUACAUGUGGCAGAGUCGGGAUUCAAACUUGGUCUGACUGACUCCAGAGCCUGCCAGAGGGUGGGGAAAGCAGGGCUGACACUGCCUCUCCCUGACCAUGCCAGCUCACCCUCAAACCUGAGGCCUUUAGGGAAGUCCCUUUUACACUCUGCAGCCUGUCUGACCUCUUCUUCUUUUUUUAAAUUGCAUUUUAGAUUUUGGGGUACAUGUGCAGAACAUGCAAGAUAGUUGCAUAGGUACACAUGUGACAGUGAUUUGCUGCCUUCCUCCCCUUCACCCACAUCUGGCAUUUCUCCCCAUGCUAUCCCUCCCCAACUCCCCCCGCCCCUUCCUUCUUAAGCUCUGGUCUGCAGCUCAUCCUUCCAGAGCUGGAGAGGAGGGAGGACAGGCUCAGGAAGGUUCUACUUUUCCCUACCCUCACACCACUCCCCCACUUCCACCUGCCUCAUAGCUGUUUAAUUCCAUUGUCUCAAAAAUGAGAGCUGCUUGGGUUUUCCUGGGGAGGGAGCAGAGAGCAGGGCCAGAGCGCCUGGCACGUGGGAAGGGGCCUGAGCCGAGCUUGGCACACUGACCAGGCAGGGCCUGGCUAGCAUCGUCGUCCCACACGUCAGAGUAGCCACGGUCGCUUUGUUAGCUGGAAUUACUGCAUUCAGGAGGGAGGAGGAGAGAAAAGAGGGGUCCCAGGAUGAGGUGGAAAAGGGAAGAGGUGCCACAAACUCCUAGGGGUGAGAAUGAGCAGAGAUUUGUGGCUCAGGCUGGCAAGAAAGACUUGCCAGGGCUCCAUGAGUGGCCUCAGCCCUGGGACUCAGUUGCCCCCUGCCCCCACUGGUUUUCUCUUCCUCCCACCUCCUGCUCUGACUCCCUCAUGGCUAGAGCAACUGGGUCCAGUGGGAGCCCUGCCUGACUCCCACAUUUAGAAAAAGAUGUGUACUCCACCCUCAGCCCCAGAAAGAUUUACACCCAUCUUUUGUAUCCAUGAAAAUAUGAUUCAACAGGACCUUAGCUUCUUCCCAGGCAGCCACUGAUCUGCUCCCUCCUUCAUCUCCUAAGAGCACAGGCUUUGGAGUCAAAGAAACUUGGCUUCAAAUCCUGAUUCCUCUGCUUUUUAACUGUGGGACUCUAAGCAAGUUAGUUUGCCUCUCUGGGUCUUGGGUUCCCAAACUGGCAGAAUCCUGUGUUAAAGGAGCGAAUAAAAGAAUAUAUAAUAGCACUAAUGUUUGUUUAGUGCCCGUUAUGUGGCAGGACACUUCCUGUAUUAUCUCACUAAGUCCCCCUAAACAUUCGAUGAGGUUGGUGUUAUUAUUAUUGCUCCCAUUUUAUAGGCAAGAAAACUGAGGCUUAGGUGAAGAAAUUUGCCAAGGCUGGCAAGCCUUAGAGCUGGGAUAAGUGACCAGCACCCAGAUAACAUAGGUCAUGCUCUCAGCUCCCCUAAUGUGCUGACGGCUGGUGCCUCUGGUCGCCUGGAACCACAGGCUUGCUCCCUAGCCCACCCAGAAUGCUGACCCAGGGAGUUGUGCCAGGAUCCCUUCAUCCCAUGUCUUUUAGAACACGUGGCAAUUUCUCCUGGUCACCUCCCUAAGACUGGUCCUCUUUCCCCAGAGCUGGGGCCAGGGUUAGGGCUGGGACUUGACAUUGUAUGGGUAUGUGUCCAGGUAACAUAAGUGGGGGUAGUAGACCCCAGGAGGAGCCUAUGUACUUGGGGUGUGUUUGUUUUUAAUCUUCUCUAAUCUGACCACUUGACUGGGCCAGGAAGAGCCUGAGGAUCCACUGGGUCAUCACAGCCUUCCCAAGGGGUGGUUGCUUUAAGGGAGGGAUUUUCUUGAAUAGCUUCUCUUCCUCCUUCUUCAGCUCCUGGUCCACGGUCCACAAGUCACUAGCUCGGGGAAUGUCCUAGACCAAGCCCUGGCCCCUAUCACAGUUAAAAUAAAUGCACUUUUUCCCAUGUUGCUUUGAUCACCAUCUCCCCUCAUGCCCCAACCCCAUGUGCUUCUUGUGAACAGGAACAAGAUGAUGCUGUUCACCACCAUUCCCAGGCCCUGGUACAGCACCUGACAUAUGCGUGUUAAACAAAUGAAUGAACUAAUGGGCUUGCCUGGGCCCACAGUGUCCCAGGAAGGCUGAGAGGCAGCAGGAGGAUAUCCUCAGCGGUGAUUGCAGCAGAGGCAGAUCUGACCUCUGUCACCAGGAGAGAGGAACAGGCCCUACCAGCCUCAGCUUCCAGGACCAGUUCAUAAGAGAAAUCAAACUGGAGAACUGCCAAGGGGCAGGAAGGGCAGUGUUCCCCCACGCCCAGAUCAGUGAUUGAGCCGCCAGCCCCGGGCCUCCCUCCCCGCACUCAUAAAUGUGGUGCUCUGUCGCCACCUGGUGGAUGUAAUAGACGAUGCUGGGACGGCCCAGCCUUCCGCGUCUGGGGUAGGAUCCAGAAAGCGGCUUCCUUCAGGCGGAGGCUAAUAAGGAGGCAAUAGGUUUGGCACAAAAGCCCUCGCUAGAAGCCACGCGGAUGCCGCCACCAUUUGAACUUCCCAGUCCACAGAACUGUGAGCUCUACCUCUUUAUAAAUUACCUAUCUCAAGUAUUCUGUUACAACAACGCCAAAUGAACUAA